CGGGAUGGACGUACCGCUGGUGCACCAGUUGUUCCGCCAGGAGCAUGGCUGGGUAGCUACGUACGGACGGGAUAAGCGCUGAAAGCAUCUAAGCGUGAAGCCCCCCUCAAGAUGAGAUUUCCCAAUUCGUAAGACCCCUUGAAGACGACGAGGUAGAUAGGUUGGAGGUGGAAGUGCAGCAAUGCAUGGAGCUGACCAAUACUAAUCGGUCGAGGGCUUAUCCUA
Molecule: ribosomal RNA, 225 nt
Filed under: Paenibacillus lactis
Lineage: Bacteria; Bacillati; Bacillota; Bacilli; Caryophanales; Paenibacillaceae
Also listed under: 1 other name
Description: partial 23S ribosomal RNA
Rfam family: Bacterial large subunit ribosomal RNA
Source: RNAcentral